CGGACGCCUACUGGCCACCGGGGCCAGGCACUGUGGAGGUGUCGCCUGGUAGCAGCCGCAGAAGCCAGGGCACCGGCACGGGUAAGAGCUGCCCUCGGGGAGAUCCUGGCACUGGAGCACUGCAGCGGGGCCGCAUGCAGAUGGCGCCUCCGGGAAAGAACAGGUUUUUAAAAAUACAAAUCUUCACUGAAAUAGUCAAUGGAAUUUUAAAAAUAUGAGAGAGAGAACGAGCAAUCGAGAACGUAUGCUUACAAUAGUACUGAAAUUGAGCAAAGACUUCUACCACAUUCUGAAAAUAUCAAGAAUGUUUGCUGGGACCCAUCAAAUCGACAAUGUCAUCCUGCUGACAAUGAAGAGAGAUCUGUAUUAUUUCAGUGGUUUGUAUAAGGAAUUUUGCAUCAGUUGGAAAAAGAAGACCAAAGUUUAGCAACAAAUAACGAAAAUGUAUACAUCUUAGAGAAAGGAUUAUAUUGCUCAGUUUCUUUGUGCUCUUUUUAAAUUAAAAAAAACAACUUCACAUUGGUUUACCAGAUUCUCUUUGAGAAAUCCAUAACUGAGAAACCAAAGGGAAAAAUGUGUAUAAGACAUAUAUCACUUGAAUAAAGUGCAAAAUUACUGUUCAAUAACCUUUAUUAGAAUAAAAGGGAAGGAACUACUUCUAUAAACAAUAAAGAAAAAAAUUAAUUUUUAAAAACCAUCACAUAAAGGGACUAUAAAUGUACAUUUACAGAAAAGUUUUUUAUCAUGCUACAAAACUCAAUCUGCAAAAGACCCAUCUUGGGAAUCAAGAGUUUCAGAAAUACAGCAACUUAGCUAAGUUAUUCAGGUAUAAAGGAGUUUAAAAUACAAUUUUAUGUCAUAAGUUUAUGCAUUUCUUCCUCCUCCUCCUUAUGAACUAAAUAAACUUAUGUACUUUUACAAGAACCUUGUUUUAGAUUCAAGAUAAGCACUUGAAAAGUAAUGUUUACUAUGAUAAUUCUAGAUAUAGGACAAAUAAAAUCAACUAGGAAUAAUAUUACUCUAUUUAUAAUGCUAAUGUUAUGAAUAAACUAUCCAAAACUAUAUUUAAAAGCAGUUAAAAUAUUCAAAUACCCAUUGUUCUGGCAUUAAGGGAAAAUAAAAGAUAACAUAUACCUAACAUCAAAUGCAAUAUAAAGAGACUAAAUGGCAAGCCCACACAGUUUUAUGUAUUCUUCCCAAUUCCAAUUAUUUACCUUUCAAUAGUUAACAUUUCAACUGCAUUAAAAAUUUAGUUAUAGGAACCUUCAGAGUAUAAGCAUUUCUCAGUUUAUGAGAAAGUUGAGAUUUCUAGAUAGCUCAGGACAUAUUUCUUCAAGCAUGAAAACUAGUAUUUCAAUAAUUUUUUAUGGGAAAUUUAAAAAGAAUCACAUUCUUUGCUCCACCAAGAAAAUACAUUAAAUAUAAUAUACUGUAUUUUAUAGUCAUCUCAGGGUCAUGAGUAUGAGUAACAGAUGCUGCUGCUAUGUGUCUAAUGGUGUGCCAGCAUUUUGCACAUGGAGUGAGUACCGUCAGUCUGCUGUUCUGUUUGAAUUCCUAUAAUCAACUUUAAUAGAUUUCUCAGGAUCCUUGCCUGAAAAGGACCAGCCACUGCUUUCUGAUAUGUUGAUGUAUUCAUCAAAGCAGCAUUUCCCCAAAAAUAAUUUGUUAUCUAUUCAAAAACCAGAUCACUAAACUUAUUAAGACUAUGAAAACUGACAGUAAAAAGACAUGAAAAUGGUAAGUUCUACUGAUUUAAGUACAUGUACUGAAUUUUGUUAAAUAUAUAUAGUCUUUUUUGCUUAACUUCAAGUUUUCCAUAUAGUUCAGAUUGCCAAUAAUCUGGGCUUUUGAUAGGUGAAGAAUUAGGGAAUUAAUGUUUUCCUAGUUCAUAUCAAUUACAACCUAAUUGUUACAUAUUUACUUUAUAGCUAUGUCAUAAUAACCUGUGAAUUAUGACUUCUAGUGUAUAACUCAAGUCAAACACCAUGAUGAAUACAAAGGUAAAUCAUAAUUCAUUAUUUUUCACCUUCAUGUAUGUGGGUGAUUCUUGUUGGUAUAUCUAUGUACUUCUAGCUAAUAAGUUAAGAACAAGUUUGCUUUAUUGAUAUAGUUCCAAUUUGUAGUUGAUUUCAGUUAAUUAUAAAAUCAAGCUACUUUUUAGCUUAAGAAUAAAUACAAAGGGAAAAGAAAGGCUUUAUAUGCUAUAUUUGUUAGAAGAUAAUGUUGAAGUAUAUGCCAUUUGGAAGUGACCUAGUCCUGCUGAAUCCUUCAUUAGUGAUACCUUUUACAAUGACUUAGUCUACAUGUAGAACUAUAAUGUAUUUGUGACAGGUCCCAGAGGAAAGGCAAAAUUUGCUUGUCAAAAGUAGGGGGUGUUAUGGGAGUUUUCUCAAGUUAUAACUCACUCAUCAGUAAAUAAAACUGAAAUUCCAAGACUGAACAGUAAAAAGGAGUAGUUAAUACACUUAGAACCUGCUAAAAUCCAGAAGGAAAACAAAAAUAUAAAUGACCCAAUCUUGAAAUCCAUAACUCUGUCAAUAAACAAAUACACAAAUAAUAAGCUCAAGUGACUAAAAUUAUUUCCAUGUGGGAAAAAUCUGGUUGUUUUCUACACUAUUAAAUUGAAGAAAUCUACAGCUUUAUGGGCUGGUAACAGAAAUAUCCUCAGUGACACAAGUGAACUUGAGCAGAAUUUGAAGAAUUAAUAUGAGAUAGGCAAAUGUAACAGACACCAUUAAGAAUUCCAGAAAUCAAAGAACAAUGUAGAUGGUAAAAAUAGUAGAUUACUUAUUUCACACAUAUAUAUAUAUACCACUUGUAAAUUGCGGCAAAUUUUGUCAGCCAACAAAUUCUGGCUAUAUUACAAACUUAGAUCAUUUAAAAAAAUUCAGAAUCAGAAACUCCUAAGGGUCUGCAUUCAUUCUGCUACUUAAAAGCUGAAAUAGAGUUGAAAUAGUUAUUGAUCACAUGGUAAUUACAGUUUCUACUCCUAUUUCUUACUACACUUGUAAACACAUAAUUGCAGCACACAGCAGAGUACAUACUUAUCAAAAAUCGUGACUAACAUGUAUUAAAACUCUUUUGCAGAAGCAGUCAUUGACCCACAAAAGCAAAGUGAUAUAACACAAUAUACUUUAUUAAAUAACACAACUGUUUAUGUAAUAAAAAGGCUAAUAUACAAAUAGCACAUAUGUUAACUAGGAAGGCAAUGUCUUAAAAUAUUAAAAGAUAAUAUAAAACUAAUCUAUAAAGAAACACUAUGAAUUUUUUUAAUAAAAUGGAAACUGAAUGCUUAAAGAAGUAUCCUUUAAACAUCUAAUAAAUAUUGUACACAUUAACAUUAUAUGGCAUUUUAAAAUAGAAUUUUAGAUGACAUGAAGUGAAUCCUAUUUAAAAGAGAAAAGGAUACCCAAUUAAUUUGAUUCUUACUAAAUACAACUUCCUAGGCAUCAAAAUCAUAAUGAAUACUGAUGUAAAUUAUCAAUAAAGCAGCUAUAUAUAUGGUCUUUUACACAUUCAUUUAACAAAAUACAGUGACCAAAUAAACAGUAUUAUAUAUAUUUAAAAUACUUACUUAGCAUAUGGUUAAGUAAAGUACCCUAGACAAAGAAGAGGAAGAAAAUGAUUUAUGUUCAUAUGUCCUAUGAUCCAUAGAAUCACAUGUUUACCUAAUUACUGGGAAUAUGAUACAAGCAAAAAGAAACAACUGAUUUUUUUCUGCCUGUGCCUGACAGGCUAAAAGUAAGUAUUUUCUUAAACUUCUUCCAUUUCCAAUUGAUAAUUUCACUAGGUGAGUACACUAAGUAACUACUUUUCAACCCUAAAACAAGUACACCACCUAUGCAUAUGAUUUAUAGCCAGAUGAUAAGCUAAACUUCAGGAAGAAGAGAAAUCCAUACCAUGGGAUUGGAAAAAGAAUAUACAUAUUUUAUGACCAAGCUAUUCUAUAAUCAUAGCUAUUUCUUAUGUCAAUGGAACAUUUUUAUUUAGGUCCUUUCCAAGUCAAUAUAGAGUGAGAUAAAGAACUGACUCUGAAAAUAUACACUAUUACAUCUGUUCCCUUAAAAAAAAAAACUCAGUAUCAAGAGAAUUGAGGGGUUAGACAUUCUUACUUUUUCAUCAUUUCUAUGUAAAAAUUCUAUACAAGAACGAUAAAAAAAAUUGAUCUUGAAUAUUGUCAUUGCUUAAAUAAACCUAACUUAAAUACCUACGCAAAUCUGUUAACCAAAAGAGAUAGAUGCUUCCACUCAAUGGUAGCCAGUUAUUUCAGUUACUCUUUUUAACAGACGGAGGAAAUACAGGAUAGUGGCUCAUGAAUUAAAUCACUUUAAAAAUAAUACAAGCUUGUACAAAAUUCUGUGUUCUACCAAUAUCACAUAAAACAUUUUAAUGUCACAAAAAUACCAAACAUUUAAUGUCAAUAGACAUGUUAGUCCUUACAUUUUACAACAAUUUUAGUGCUAACCACCUAUGUGAGCAUUUUCUAAACAAAAUAAUUAGAAAAUGUCUUCUACAUAUCAUAUUUUGCAAAUGUAAGACUAAAGUGGAGGUCUCAAACAUACCUUCCUUAAUGCCACUAUAGACUUUUAUCACAGGCAAUAUGAAUGAAUGAGCAGUAAGAAAGCCAAAGUAUUCUUUAUACAUGAAAAUAUAUUAACUGGAAAAACUACUUGGAUAAUUAUUGAAAUCCAAAUUCAUAUAUAAUGAUAACUAAAAUAAUGGGAUCAAUUCAGUUAGCCACAUCUGUAGCAGCUAGAUUACAAGAUUGUAAGUGAAAGAAAAAAUAAAACAUGAAAAAGUAUAUAAAAAUACACAAUAAAGUCAAGUUCCUCUUCACAGCAUGAGAAUGAUUAGACAUUUUUAUACCUGAAACAUGUCUACUUUGUUCUUUAAUAAAUUGAUCUCCAUCUGCUCAUGCCCUUGGAAAAUUUUCAGCAUUAAAGCCUGCUGUGCUCAGGUCCCACAUAACUUUGUAUUUCCAUGUUCAUAAUUAACUACUUAUGCUCUAAUCAAUAGUGUAGAUCUUGAUUUUAUGAUGUAAAUCAAAUAAAUGAAAUGAUGUCUAGGGUCAAUAUCAUUUUAUUUAUAAAGCCCAGCAUGAGCAUGCAAUUUCUUUUUAUCUUAUGUACCUGAACAGCAGUGAAUCUUAUCAGCAGGCCUACAGAAAGUCUUUAAGAGUAAGCACUAGGAGAAAGAGGCCUACAUUUUUACAAAGAGUAUUUGCAAAGCAUGUCCAUCUUAGAAAUACUUUUAAUUAUAAUCCUUAGUACUAUGUAAAUUUACAAAGUGCUUACUCAGACAGAUAGGAAAAAUUUCUGCCUUCAUAUGCUAUGCAGCUCUAAAGCUAAGUCUCUUAAAGUCUCAGCUAUCAAAAGUGAUUUCAGAAAAUUAAAAAAAAAUUUGAUGUUAAUAUUCCACUCUGCUGCAGAGUCCUUCUGAAUUCCUCUUAUCUUUUUUGGCGAAAUAUUCAUAAAACAUUCCCAUAUUGUGAAUCAUUAAAAUAGUGGUAAGUUUGUCAAAUUAGGAACAUUAGUGUUUAAAGAGUGGUCUCAUAAAGUAACAGGAUGUAAAAAUAGGGAAAUAGGAUAAUGAGUGAGAAUAUUCUCAUUACUACUGGUCAGCAACCUAUUUUUAACAUCAUAAAUAUAAAAUCAGAUAAACAUUCAAGAAACCCAUGAAUAUCAAUUAUAUAUAAAUCAUGUAUAGAUACAAUUUUGAAACUUGAGAUGGAUAAAAGUUAAUGCUAAAUUUUUUCAUGUUUAAACAUACCCCAAAUUUCAAAUCUUUUUUCAACAAGGAAUUUAUGAAUUGUGGACAAAGGUUAUGUUCCUCUGUUUCUGUACCUAAUAUAGUGCUGUCCCCAUAAUAGGUGUAAAAUAACAUUUAACUAAAUUUAUGAAAAUAGAAAUUACUUUGUAUAUGUUGUAGAUGAAACCACUUCAAAGACUUCCACAAAUAUUUUUGAAAAUUUAAGAGUGUUCUUAAGGAGAUUAGUCAUAUCCAAUCAAUGUCAACUGCAACAGAAUGAUUCUUUAAAAAUAUUACAUACAGAUGGUUCUCAAAGUGGUGUCCCUGCAGCAUCAGAUCCACUUGGGAACUUACUAGAAAUGCAAAGAUUCAGGCCUCAGCCCAGACCCAUUGAAUCAGAAACUGCAGAGAGACAGAAGGGAAUAAAGUGGAGAGGAGGAAGAUAAGGGGAACAGGACAGCAACCUAUGUUUUGACAAAUCCUUCAUGUGAUUCUGGUGUACUGUAAAGUUUGAGAACCACUGCUCUAUACUACUGUGUCAUUCUUCUUCAUUUCAAAGUCAUGUAAUUUCCUCCCUGAUAUUUUAGUGUUUUUUCUUUUCCCUAUGUGUGACAAACAGCCAUCUUUUAUCUGUCAUACAAUUUUCUCUUAGAUCUAUCUGUUAAAUAUGAACCAUUUAGUGCAUAUUUUCUUGAACACACAUUAACAUCUCCUUUCAAAGCAACUGGACCAAUUAUAGAAAGUAGUUCAUUUUUAUACUGUAGAAAUAUGAGAGCAUGAGAGCAUUUAAGAGACUAUUAAGAGAAAAUGUUUUAUUCUACUUCCUUCAAAAGUUUUCCUGCCCCAAAUAAACAUUUGCAGGACUAAUGAUCUUACGACUUACUCAGUUUAUAUCUGUGAUGUGGGAUAAAGAUUUUAGGGCUAGCACCAAAUAUAUAAUAGCGUAUCCACCACUAAAGAUUACAAGAUGGAGAAUGAUGAUAGUGAAGUAUUCUAAUUAGAACCAAGGUAGAAAGGAUUUUGAUUAAUAGUGACACAAAAACCACAAGGCCUAAUUUUUUUCUCAAAAAAUAUAAUGACCAGUAGUAAUUUCUCACCAGGUAUCAAGGAGUGUCAGGGUCUACUUCCAUUAGCAUAUUCUUUUAAGAAAAUGGCAGUCUGUGAUUUUUCUAAAAAUCACCUAGAGUCUAGUAAUAGUAAUAAUUACCAAAUUUUUCUUAAUCUUAUGUGGUGAUACAUUAUGAGUCCUUUCUUAUCCUUACAAAAGAAAAAAGGGCUACUGGUUUUGCUACAGAUUAUUAAUAUUUUUCCUCCAAUGUAGUCAGAUCUUUUGAUAAGUUAAUCUCAGUUUAUACAUAUUUUAUAUGCAUGUUAGUUUUAUUAAACAUUUUAUCCAAUAUGGUUCCUUACUAUAAUUAUUGAAUAUUAGCAUACAACAACUUUAUAUUUACACUUGCUCAUGACUAUUUUAUAACAUUGCCUACUCUAUUCCUAAAGUCUGAACUAUUUUCAGUUAUCACUAUACCUGAAAAGAUGCCAAAACCACAUUUAUAACUCAGGAAAUUGCAAGAGACAUAUUGACAGUUUACAUGUAUAUGUGCAUUUCAAUUUCAGCAAAGAGUCUCUUCUAAAUCAGUUCAAGAUGGAGUGAUGAAUAUUCAACAUAUUUCUGUCGUUGACUUAAAACUGGAUCAUUAAAGUUUGAAGAUAAAAUUUUAAUUCUGUAAACCUCUGGAGAUACAGAUGUUGAUGAAGAUCUCUCAGCUGGCAGGAUGUCUAUAGUCAAUAGACUUUGUAUCACCAUCCUUAUUUCAUAAUCUCUUAUUUAAGGUCAAGAAAAUAAAAUUAUAUUGAACACAGAAAGUCCAUAUUAAAUCAAUAAAAACUGAAUAAAUUUGGGUACUGCUAAAAAAUAUCUAGAGAUCAACACAGACAUACUGUUAUUAAUGAGCUUAAAACUGAGAAAACUUCAUGCUAAAAGUGCUUUCACACUAGGACUAAUAAUCAAAAUUAGAAUGGCAUAUACUUCACAGGUCUUUCACUUUUGCUGAAUAUUAUAAAUAGAAAUAACAAUUCAUGUAAGAGUCUAUAGCUGUUUUCCAGCACAGCAUUUCAUAUAUGAAUGUAUGUAUUAAGUUAGAUGAAACAGAUUAGCAGACAAGUGGAAUGCAUUGUCUUUCUUAUUUGUUACUGAUAUUGUUUAACAACAGUGAGGAACACAUUGCAUUUAAGUCCCACAGGCUUCCGUUACUCUUCAGUAAGUCCAAAUACUGUGUAUCAUCAUUUGCCAAAGAGGCAAGAGGGAAAGACGUUACUUAGGACAAUUCUGACAGACAUUAUCUAGUAGUUUUCAACAAUGCACAUAUCAAAUAUUUCUGAUUAGUGCAAAAAAAAAAAUAAGUACAAGGAAAAAAAUAGAAAAAAAUCCCACAGGCAAAUUAACUGCCUUGUCAGUCCAAGUAACAAACCAAUCAAAUUACAUUCUAUUCAAACCUGACAAGCAAAGGCAACUUUUUGCAGUGAUAAGCUUAUGGAAAGGACAAGAUAGCUGUUCUCCUUUACUUUAUGUAUUCUAUUGAGAGUGUUAUCCACAUUUUUAAAAUCACACUUAUAAAAGAGGUUUCCAGGAUUGCCUCCGAGGAUGAGCUGUGGCAGAGUUGGGU
This is a long non-coding RNA of Manis javanica (Malayan pangolin), 8411 nucleotides long. RefSeq lists it as uncharacterized. NCBI's taxonomy places the organism in Eukaryota, Metazoa, Chordata, Mammalia, Pholidota, Manidae. The record is from RefSeq and is a predicted model, not a curated record.